RNAcentral lists this unclassified non-coding RNA (279 nucleotides) under plant metagenome. RNAcentral describes it as "partial contains small subunit ribosomal RNA, internal transcribed spacer 1, and 5.8S ribosomal RNA". The record is from RNAcentral.
UUUCCGUAGGUGAACCUGCAGAAGGAUCAUUAUUGUGUCAUCGAGGUUCGAGGGCUGUCGCUUACCCGAAUGGUUGUGCACGCACGAUUUCCCCCCCACACAUCCAUUUAACCCCUAUGUGCACCGCCGCGCGGGUCCCGCUUUUGCUUGUCUGGAGGGGGGCUUCCGUUUUCACACAAACUUUGUAUUCAGUGUAGAAUGUAUUUUUUGUUUUUGCGAUCACGACGUCAAUACAACUUUCAACAACGGACAACUUGGCACCCGCAUCGAUGAAGACGC